Molecule: unclassified non-coding RNA, 1281 nt
Filed under: Hevea brasiliensis (rubber tree)
Lineage: Eukaryota; Viridiplantae; Streptophyta; Magnoliopsida; Malpighiales; Euphorbiaceae
Source: RNAcentral
UCCAUCUCUCUCUUUCUCUUUGUGGUCCAUCUUCGCCAACUUCCAUAUAUAAUACUGAUCAAUUUUUGGUUUCAUUUUAGGGAGAGGAGACAAAGUGAAAGAGUACUCCAUAUCAUGGAUUGGCAUGGCAACUUAAGAACCUUUGUCUCUCGACCAGAGAAUUCCUUUAACUUCCUCUACAACUAUAGAUAUGACCAGUAUAAUCAAGGUAAAACUCUCUUCUCUCCUCACUAUAUAUCUACAGCCCACUUGAGCUUUCUUUUUAUAAUUUCACCUUUUCUUUUGCAUGGAAACUCCGAGGAAUCAACUCAUACUUAUUUCUUUGCUAGGGAAACCAAACUUGUUUAUAUAUGUUUUUCUUUUCAGGAAUGGAUUUGAAGCACCCAGCAAUGGCAGAAACACCACACGGUAUGGUCCCAACUAUGGACAAGCUUAGCUUUGGAAUUCAUGAGAAGAAGAAGAGAUUGACAAGCGAUCAGUUAGACUCACUGGAGAGGAGCUUUCAAGAGGAGAUUAAGUUAGACCCUGAUAGGAAAAUGAAGCUGUCUCGUGAGCUAGGGCUGCAACCAAGGCAGAUUGCUGUUUGGUUCCAAAAUAGACGUGCUAGGUGGAAAGCUAAGCAACUUGAACGCUUAUACGAUGCACUUAAGCAGGAGUUUGAUGUUGUUUCUGUAGAAAAACAGAAGCUUCAAGAAGAGGUUAUGAAACUGAAAGCUAUCCUCCGGGAGCAAGCCACCGACAGGAAGCCAGUGUCAACGGGCUACACAGAGAUUUCAGGCGAAGAGACAGUGGAAAGCACAUCGGUCGCAAUUCGCAGCUCCAAUGGCAAGCCACGAGGAACAAGUCAGCAUCAGAUUGCAGAGUGCAACUAUCUUCUGAAUGUUGAUGAAUAUAACCCAGUAACAUCACCUUACUGGGCUGUUCUUCCAUCUUAUCCUUAAUUAAUAGGCUGUUAUUGUUGUUUAUACUUCUUAAUUAUUAUUAUGCUAGAGUAAUUAGUUCAGCCUAUGUAGUAAAUGUUAGUAUUAUUAGCCCUAGUGCUGAAGAAUGAAGAUGCAUGGCUUCUGCUGUUGAGCUACGUAUUAGCAUAUAUAUAUAUAAUAAUCGGAAUCCCUUCUAAUAUAUAUGGAGGACAUUUAUCUUAGAUUAUCUGCAUGAAUGUGAGCUCCUACAUACUAUUAUUAUCCUUCAAGUUUCAAGACUAAACCUUAUUAUUCUAGGGAAUAAAUCCAAUUAAAACCCAAGGAAAUUUCUUGAUAGCUGUAUAUAUAUUGAAUCUGG